Molecule: long non-coding RNA, 885 nt
Organism: Chanos chanos (milkfish)
Lineage: Eukaryota; Metazoa; Chordata; Actinopteri; Gonorynchiformes; Chanidae
Exons: 2
Source: RefSeq, a predicted model, not a curated record
UUGUCCUUUGACCAUUUUAUUGAAGUCACAGCUCAAUGUGUUUCUCUCAGUAAUAGCAGGCUGUUGUGCAAGCCUAUGGGAGCAUUGACAUACAGGGCUCUAAAGUGUAGAAGUGGCUUUUUAAUCCGAAAACCGAUUUUAAAGUUGUCUUCGUUAUGGAGAAUGGCCGUGUUGGAGUUGGCCGAUGUAAAUGCGCCUUUUGGUUCGCUGUGGCUCAUGACAUUCUCGGAUUUUUAAUUCUCAUGGUUGGAAUAUUUUGGGACGUUUUCUUUCACGACUUUCUCAUUUACGUGGGCGGCGUCAUCAUCUUUUUGAGUCUCAUUUGGUGGAUAUUCUGGUAUACGGGCAACAUUGAUGUACCACCUGAAGAGCUGGAAGACGAUGUGGGGAUAAAAAAGAUCAACAGAGGCUUCUCUGGUGUCGUGCGAAAGGUUUCAAGCCGACUUUCUAAUGGAAUCACACGGUCUUUCAGAAGGAAUAGCAGGGGCAAUGGUCUUGCAGAGAGCUCCUGGCCAAAAACCAGAAAAGAGACCACACAGCAACCCCCUGUUGCUAUCUCUGUCAUUUCCUAUGUGAACACACACUCCUCAGUGACACCAAACAGCCUGAAUCGGGAGCCUCUGUCAAUAUGAUUCUCAGUGACCUGAGGAUGAAGGUCUACUUGGAAAGGCACAACCUUACUGCCCAGAGAGCCCUUGAUUGGAAUGUUGAUGCUGUAUAUUUGUGGUUAAAUGAACUUUAAUAUCCUGCAUAUAUUUUCCUGUUGUAUUUAUGAUACUAAGCUAUUGUAGUCUGAUUUAUAUUUCUGCUGAUGUUUCAACAUUUAUGAUGAAAUUUCUACUGACUCCACUCUGUCAUGAUAAAUUAUGCAAUAUACACUUGCAA